This 95-nucleotide ribosomal RNA is filed under the name uncultured Hebeloma. RNAcentral describes it as "partial 28S ribosomal RNA". Lineage: Eukaryota; Fungi; Basidiomycota; Agaricomycetes; Agaricales; Cortinariaceae. The record is from RNAcentral.
UGUCUAUUGGUGUGAUAAUUAUCUACGCUAUGGACAUCUGCAAUCAUAUGGGUGUGCACUGCUUCCAGCAGUCUGUUAAAGACAAUACAUGACAA